Molecule: non-coding RNA, 227 nt
Filed under: Brochothrix thermosphacta
Lineage: Bacteria; Bacillati; Bacillota; Bacilli; Caryophanales; Listeriaceae
Source: RNAcentral
GCGACGAUUGGAACGUUAAUAGAAGAGGCGGACAAACAGCGAUUUGACGAAUGGUGGAAGGUCAAACAAACGCACAACUAUUAUAAAUCAUCCAUGAGCUGCUCUGCUGAAAUUAAGUAAGCUGAGCCGUAGCCACUGCGUUAAAGUGUCGAGUGAGUACAUUUUUAGUCGAGCUAGUGAUAGCCGUGCUAAUAAGGGUGGUACCGCGAGUGAGUCUCGUCCCUUUU